CUACGGGAGGCUCCAGUGGGGAAUAUUGCACAAUGGGCGCAAGCCUGAUGCAGCCAUGCCGCGUGUAUGAAGAAGGCCUUCGGGUUGUAAAGUACUUUCAGCGGGGAGGAAGGGAGUAAAGUUAAUACCUUUGCUCAUUGACGUUACCCGCAGAAGAAGCACCGGCUAACUCCGUGCCAGCAGCCGCGGUAAUACGGAGGGUGCAAGCGUUAAUCGGAAUUACUGGGCGUAAAGCGCACGCAGGCGGUUUGUUAAGUCAGAUGUGAAAUCCCCGGGCUCAACCUGGGAACUGCAUCUGAUACUGGCAAGCUGGAGUCUCGUAGAGGGGGGUAGAAUUCCAGGUGUAGCGGUGAAAUGCGUAGAGAUCUGGAGGAAUACCGGUGGCGAAGGCGGCCCCCUGGACGAAGACUGACGCUCAGGUGCGAAAGCGUGGGGAGCAAACAGGAUUAAUACCCCUGUAGUC
RNAcentral lists this ribosomal RNA (463 nucleotides) under uncultured bacterium. Its description in RNAcentral is "partial 16S ribosomal RNA". It matches the Rfam family "Bacterial small subunit ribosomal RNA", at positions 339 to 795 of the family's 1533-position model. The record is from RNAcentral.